Molecule: ribosomal RNA, 433 nt
Filed under: uncultured bacterium
Lineage: Bacteria
Description: partial 16S ribosomal RNA
Rfam family: Bacterial small subunit ribosomal RNA
Source: RNAcentral
AACGAACGCUGGCGGCAUGCCUAACACAUGCAAGUCGAACGAGACCUUCGGGUCUAGUGGCGCACGGGUGCGUAACGCGUGGGAACCUGCCCUUAGGUUCGGAAUAACUCCCCGAAAGGGGUGCUAAUACCGGAUAAUGUCUUCGGACCAAAGAUUUAUCGACUUUGGAUGGGCCCGCGUUGGAUUAGCUAGUUGGUAGGGUAAAAGCCUACCAGGGCGACGAUCCAUAGCUGGUCUGAGAGGAUGAUCAGCCACACUGGGACUGAGACACGGCCCAGACUCCUACGGGAGGCAGCAGUGGGGAAUAUUGGACAAUGGGCGAAAGCCUGAUCCAGCAAUGCCGCGUGAGUGAUGAAGGCCUUAGGGUUGUAAAGCUCUUUUACCCGGGAUGAUAAUGACAGUACCGGGAGAAUAAGCUCCGGCUAACUCCGUG